Molecule: long non-coding RNA, 1001 nt
Filed under: Marmota monax (woodchuck)
Lineage: Eukaryota; Metazoa; Chordata; Mammalia; Rodentia; Sciuridae
Source: RNAcentral
GAAGUAUAUAACUAAUGAUGAAGUAAUGUUUGAAAUGUAUGAAGUCAAACAGCUUAUGGAAUAGUCUUUCAACCCUCAGUUAUGUAAAAUAUCAGGAGGUAAAUUAAUUUCUCAUUAAUACCUAGACAAACUGGAAUUUGUUCUGUAAGAAUACAUGCAAUAAUGAAUCAUAAGUAAUUAUUGAUGCAUGAUCACUUUUUCUUUUUUGAUAGAAAUUGUGUGAAAUUUGUCAAAAUUGCUUUACUAGAGAGCAUGAAACUUGUAGAAGUACUGUCAACUGAAAUCCAACUUGAUGUGAAGUCAUGUUUUAUGCAUCCUAACAUAGCUCAUCUCAUUACCAGUAACAAGUUGUGAAAAUGAAUGUUUUUACAAAACAAUCAGUACUACAACCCAAAUUUGAUCAGCCAAAUUUUAGAGUGGAUUUUGUUUCUAUUACCUCUUUAGAGACAAUAUAUUACAGAAUUAUCCAGAUGAAAAAGUUUUCGAAGGUUAUGCAGCCAAAAGAUACUGUAGGAAGGAAAGAGUAAUAUGUGUCAGACAAGUAAUAAAAACAUUAUGUUGUUUCCAAUGAUUCUGUGAUGUCUGUUUUUGUCUGCUUUUAAAAGCUUGCAAUUUAUUGUAAUUUCUCAAAGUAAUCCAAUUUUCUAACAAAUACUAAUUUUGUUCUUUUCUUCUUAGAGUUCUACUCAAAUUGUAUCAACUUCAAACCUCACAAACCCUGUAACGGCCCCUGACAGUGAGAUAACGCAGGAUAGAACAGUGUUUUCUUGAGAGGGACAUUAGUUCACCCCUAAUGCUGCUGAGGACUUCCAGUUAAUCAGUAAACUGGAAUGAAUCAUUCCACAGAUAAGACUGCUUUCAGAAAUUGACUUCUUUGCUUUUCCUACCUAGCUAUGGAAUCUUAAUUCACCAUAAUGGAUCAGCUGCAUCCUAUAGCAGAUGUUGGCCAAAGCCUUUGGGUGUCCUUGUGCUUAAUAACUUUCUCUUUGAAAUGAGUCUGA